Molecule: long non-coding RNA, 3874 nt
Organism: Sceloporus undulatus (fence lizard)
Lineage: Eukaryota; Metazoa; Chordata; Lepidosauria; Squamata; Phrynosomatidae
Exons: 3
Source: RefSeq, a predicted model, not a curated record
AUUUCAGCAGGCGGACUCCAUGGCAGGCCUGCAGAGCUUUCCCCCGUUUUAAUGCUGCACUGAGCAAGGCAGUCUCUCCUGAAACUGUGACUUUUAAAUGCUGUUGUGUUGAUGUCCCACUCCAGAAAGCAAAGAUGGGGGAAGAACUUCACACAGAGAGCCCAACACAAGUGAAAUGUAUCAAGAGUUUAUUGUGCUGCUAGGAAUGCUCUCCAAAAAUAUGUGAUUCCUCUGCUCAAAUAAAGGUGAUAAAUGGGUUUCCCAUUUCUUGGGAAACCCUGUCUGGAAGAACAAGAGAACAGUGAGACUUUUGUGCCAUUUUCUUCCAGUUUUCAAAUGUCUGGAAGUUUUCUGGAGUAUUUUUGCACUCAUAGAAAUACGUAUAUGUGUGCAUGUCUAUUUACAAAACCACAUUUUUAUGCAGGAAACGUGCUUCUGUGCAGAAAACAUGUUUUUUCCAAUAUGUAAUGUGUGUGUAUGUGUGGUGUGUGUGUGUGUAUUGCACAAAAACAUGGUGUUUUUUUGCACGGAAAAAUCUUGCAGAACACCUCAGGAUGCUCAAAUACAGAAACUUCAAAGCAAGUUGCAGAAAAACUGUAUGUGAUGGAGCAAAUCUGAAGAUUUAGAUUGCCAAAUUCCUGCAAAUGAGCAUAUAUAUUUUUUAAGAUGCUUUUAUGACCCUCAAUGUUGCAAGGCUGUGUAAAUUAACUGGUCUAUCCAUCUGUCUAAAUGGUGUGAGUUGUGUAAGACAGAUCUAUAACGAAAAUUAAAGAGUCCAUCUCUUACACUGAAUAACUGAUACUAUAACUUUGCACUUUGUUUUAUUCUUAUAUUAAUAAUGUCUCUAUAUAUUUAUAUAUAUUAAAAAUAAGGCACAUAAAUAAGGUACAUAAAGGGAAGUAGAAAUCAGGAAGAAUGGCCCAGCCCAGUGAAAAAUGAUCAGCUAUUGCACCCGGUUCCACAGACAGGAGCUGAAAGAGGAAAGAAAAGCGGUAACUUGGCAGACUUUUCACGUUCCCCAGCAAAACAACUAAGCUUUACGAAUCAAGCAACAAACAGAGGGGCUUUUUGGUGAUAUUUACAAGGGGGAAAAAGGAUAUGGAAGUCAUCCAUUCUACCAAGAAACAAGAACAGGAAAUGCACCAAGCUGUCCCCUGGGUAUUCACCAUUUCCCUGCAAGUUUCAACCUCAAAUGCAAACGUCCUAACUUGUACCCCCCUCUUUCCCCCAGAAAAUAACCUCAGGACGGGGAACCGGCUCCAGCCACAAACCAACGUUGGCCAAUAUUUGCCUAAGAGUUAUGAGAAGUUCAGUUCACGGAAUGUUCCACAUUAAAGCAUUUUUCUCAUGCCGGAAUUUUAUGAGAAGAUGCCAGAGAUUAGAAGAGGAGGAGGAGGAAGGAGGAGGAAGAGAAGGUGUGAAAGAAAAAGAGGUGUACAGAGAGCUUCAGGGGGCCAGGCAGGGGUGUGCAAACUGUGGCCCAUUGGUCACAUGUGGCUCCAGAAGCUGCUUGUGGCCUUGAGUGUGGAAACAGUGGCCCGUUUUAGUUGUUAUUCUUUUUAGUUUUGAGGAGGGGGCCACAAGUAUAGAAACUGGCCCAUUGGCCACAUGUUACUGCAGAAGCUCUUUAUGACCACAGGUGUGGAAACUGUAGACCACUGGCCACAUAUGGACACAGAAAUGCCUAGUGGCCUCAGGUGUGGAAACUGUGGCCUAUUGGCCAGAUGUGCUUACUGAAGUUCCUUGUGGCCUCAGAUGCCAUUGGCCACAUGUGACUGCAGAAGCUCCUUAUGGUCUCAGAUGUGGAAACUAUGGCCCAUUAGCCACUUCUGGUGACAGAAGAUCCUAGUGGCCAAUUGGCCACAUGUACACACUGAAGUUCCUUGUGGCUUUGGAAGUCAUUGGCCACAUGUGGCCACAGAAGCCAUGAGCAACUUCUGUGACCACAAGUAGCCAAUGGGUCGGUUUCCAUGUCUCUGCCCUUGUUCCUCAUUACUCAGGGGAACCAAUCUCCUGCACAACAGAUGGGUCACAAAGCCAGUAUGUGGCUGGUGGAAUCCCACUUCGGACUUGGUAAAGUCUUCUGCUGUCAUUAACUGCCUAACUUAUGGCAUCCCUGGAAUGCUGUAAAAACCAACACCCCACUAUUAAUUCCUUUCUUCUGAUCGGUUUUCCUCCCUCCCCAUCCUGCAGAAGAAAGAGAAAGAGAAGGGCCUUUUCCAUUGUGUCCCCCUGCAGUGCCAGCCAACAGUUCCCCUUUCAAGGGGACAGUGAAUCUACUCUGGGUUCUAGCCUGCACUUUUAAAGAGCUACCCAACAUGCCAAACAUAUUUACAGGAUCAGGUGCAGCAUAUUCAGACUAAAACCCAGCACAACUUCAUCUCCACAUUUACAGGGUGGGUGCAGAACACUGUCUCUAGGGAGUCCAUCCAGGCCAGAGCCUUCACUGUUUUUGCUGCCACCAAAGCUGGUGCCCUCCAAAUGUACUGGAUGAUGUCCCAUCAUCCCUAGUGCAGCUGUUAAUCUGUUCUGCUGGUUUUUGAAAUAUUCUGUCACUGUGCUAGUUCUAAGAGAUUUCACUUUUUCAUAUAUUUGUGGGGCUUUGGUCUAUUUUAUUUUGGCUUUUGAUUAGCUGUUUUUGGGGAUGGGGAGGCUGCUGGGAUGGGAGGUGAUGACGACAAAUCUUUGUUGUUACCCUUGCAAAAGAAAAUGCUGAAAUGUAAGAGGGAAGAAUCAUAUCUUCUCUCUCUCUCUCUCUCUCUCUCUCUCUCUCUCUCUCACACACACACACACCGUUCCUCAACAGCUCUGGCAUGCAUUAAGAGUAAAACCGCUUUCCAUUAAAUCGAGAUACUUUCCUCUUUUCUAGCUAAACCUGCUGCUGAAUCUGGGUCAGGUGGAGAAAUUAUUAAUUGCCAAGUUUCUAAAGCGUAGCUCAGGAAAAAGCUGAUCUUCUUCCCCUGCCACUGCUUUUUAAAUCUCUAGGAGCAACAGAUAUCUAAGAAAUUGAAUAAUACAAAGGAAAAUUCUGUUUAGGAUUAAAAAUUGCACACUGAAGGAAAAGAGUAGAGAAUUUUAAAUAAAUUUCUGUUCCACACACACACAGAAAUUUCAUCAGAAGAAGCAACUCUGUUGGAAUAGAGAACUAGGCUACACCUACAGUGUAAAAAUAAUGCAGUUUGAUACCACUUUAAAUACUGUAGCGCCAUCCUAUGAAGUCCUGGGAUUUAUUGUUUUGAGCUUUCUCUGCCCACAAGUGCUUCUGCCUCACGAGAGUGCAAUUCCCAGGAUUCCAUAGGAUGGAGCCAUGGCAGUUAAAGUGGUGUCAAACUGCAUUAUUUUUACAGUGCAGACACGCCCCUAGAGUCUUUCCCACUCAGUACAAUUACAGAAUAUCAAUCCCACUUUAACUGUCAAGUUUAAUUCACUUCCAUCAUAAGUGUAUAUAUGGUGUCUGUGUGUGCUCACAUGUGUGCACAUGUGUGUGUACAGCAUGAAUAUAUUUAUAUCUAGGUUUAGAGAUUCUAUAUAUUUGAGGAAAUGCAUAGGAGAAAUUUUUAGUUUAGAAACUUUUCAGGAAUAAAAAAUAAUAAUCCAUACUCUUUGUCAAGCCAGGGUUCCAAUCCACCAAUAAUAUCUCCUGAAUUGUAAAGUGCACUGGGACUCUCAUUAACAGUGUGAUGGCUCAUGCAAAGAGCAAACCUUAGUGAUCAUACCUAAGGUUUGUUUUGGAUAAAAAGGAAUUUUCUUUACAUUGGGUUAAAUGCAGUUGCGUAAGAAAUACACUUUCUGACUCUGACUACACCUAAAGGGGGUAUUUAUUUAUUAUAUUUAUUUGUAUCUUGCUCUUUCCCCAGGACUAGGAGCGGCUUAA